CAGAGCUGGUGGGGAGACAGCAUGCCACUGGAAAAAUUCGUAGACAUGGAAUUCCUGGAUCAAAUGGAGGAGAUGGAAGAUUGAGAGCAGAGUGCAAGAAUGGGAAGAGGGCUUCGUGCCCUGUGCACGUUUGCCACCUAGUGACCAAACUGAGGUAGAUCGAAGACCUCAGGACCAAGGAGGAAAUGAAAUGUUAAGAAGAUUUGACUGUAACAAAAGGAUGGUGUGCUUCUCACCUCAGCGUGAUAGCCUGACCUUGACUCCUGAGUUCCACGAUCGCUUCACAACUGCAAGUCACCAUCAUACAAAAUUUGAGUUUCCCUAAGUCCGCGCCUUUGAGAGCUUUGGAACGAUAUGCAAGUUCAAGUCACCAUCCUGUUUCUUGCUACCUCCUGUGAGAAGACCAACAUUUGGGUUACACUUGUUUCUACUCUUGUUCUUCUGCUUGUUAUUGUUGCCUCUGCAGCCAUUGAUCACACACGUGUUGUCAUACAAAAACUGGUUAGCCUUUUUAUUUGUCUUGUGAAUUUUAUCAUUUGGUUCUUAAGUAUUACAAAUUAAUAUUGUGUACUCUCAUUGAUAUACAACUUGCAGUCAUUGUAAAUAUGCGUGAGUUAGGGGUGAGAAUGGCAUGCAAGCAAAAGAACAAGGAGAGGGAUGAUAGAGAUGCAAGAAGAGUAAAGAGGGCAAGAAAGUUUAUGUUAAUAGCGAACACAAUGAAAGUUCUUUAAAUGCUUGAUAAUGGUGAAAGCAACACUUCCUAGGGCAUAUUUUUGGUGUUAAUGAACCUACACAUCAUACAAUAAAGAAAAUUGAGAAAGCAGUUGGGGCCAGUGAAUCGGGGGCACACAAGAAUCACUGAGAAAAUCAUACACAACUCAAAAUGCCACAAUAGGGAAAAUAUAAAGAGAUUUGCACUUGUGGCUUCUAAAACAGAGAAGGUUGAAUAGGUCUCUUUCUGUGUGUAAAAUCUGCCAGUGAGCAUCACAAAAAUGCAAAUUUAAAUUUCAAUCUGGAUGGAAAGUUAUAAAAUUCAUUGCAAGUAAUGGGUGGUUGGGUAGGUUUAAGAAAUGCCAGGUGGGUGGAUCACUUGAGGUCUGGAGUUUGCAACUAGCCUGGCCAACAUGGUGAAACCUUGUCUCUACUAAAAAUACAAAAAUUAGCCAGGAUUGGUGGCGGGUACCUGUAAUCUCAGCUACUCAGGAGGCUGAGGCAGGAGAAUCGCUUGAACCUAGGAGGCAGAGGUUGCAGUGAGCUGAGAUCGUGCCAUCGCACUCCAGCCUGGGUGACGAGAGCAAAGCUCUGUCUCAAAAAAA
Molecule: long non-coding RNA, 1316 nt
Filed under: Homo sapiens (human)
Lineage: Eukaryota; Metazoa; Chordata; Mammalia; Primates; Hominidae
Description: long intergenic non-protein coding RNA 632
Source: RNAcentral